CCAGAAGUCAGAUGUCAGAAGUUAUAAAGUAUUGGUCAAGGGAUUUUGAUGAUCCAUACACAACAAAGCUCUUGUAUGUUUCUCUUGUUCGUCCGUCCAUGGAUUAAAGCUCGUGUAGAUGGUUUAAACUGGGAUAUAGGAAGACGAUUGCCCUCGUAUCAUGUGAGGUUGCGCCUGCUGGACUUACGAACCCUGGACCACCGUAGAAAGUGUCAUGGAGUUUUUUUCUUGCAUAAAUUCUUCUAAGUUCCCGCAACUGGAAUAUAUCCAGUAGAACAGUUCGUCGCCUCUGACAAUUUUUGGAACCCAUUAUGCCCUUCAUGAUCCUUUUCGUGUUCUUUGUGAUGAUUAUAGUGCACUGUGUCACGACUUAAUAUUUGAUAGCCCUAAUAAAACCAAUUACGACAAACUAA
This is a long non-coding RNA of Drosophila biarmipes, 413 nucleotides long. RefSeq lists it as uncharacterized. The transcript is spliced from 2 exons. Lineage: Eukaryota; Metazoa; Arthropoda; Insecta; Diptera; Drosophilidae. The record is from RefSeq and is a predicted model, not a curated record.